RNAcentral lists this ribosomal RNA (253 nucleotides) under uncultured bacterium. Its description in RNAcentral is "partial 16S ribosomal RNA". It matches the Rfam family "Bacterial small subunit ribosomal RNA", at positions 524 to 776 of the family's 1533-position model. The record is from RNAcentral.
UACGUAGGGUGCGAGCGUUGCCCGGAUUUAUUGGGCGUAAAGGGCGCGCAGGCGGCUACGCACGUCCGUUGUGAAAUCGCUCGGCUCAACUGGGCGGGGUCAGCGGAUACGGCGUAGCUGGAGCAAGCUAGGGGGCAAUGGAAUUCCUGGUGUAGCGGUGAAAUGCGCAGAUAUCAGGAGGAACACCGGUGGCGAAGGCGGGUCUCUGGGCAGUAACUGACGCUGAGGAGCGAAAGCGUGGGGAGCGAACAGG